Molecule: ribosomal RNA, 489 nt
Filed under: uncultured Dyadobacter sp.
Lineage: Bacteria; Pseudomonadati; Bacteroidota; Cytophagia; Cytophagales; Spirosomataceae
Description: bacterial SSU rRNA
Rfam family: Bacterial small subunit ribosomal RNA
Source: RNAcentral
GAGUUUGAUCCUGGCUCAGGAUGAACGCUAGCGGCAGGCUUAAUACAUGCAAGGCGAGGGGGCAGCAAUGUCACCGUCGUACGGGUGCGUAACGCGUAUGCAACCUACCUUCAACUGGGGGAUAGCCCGGGGAAACCCGGAUUAAUACCGCAUAAUACAGGGGGCCCACAUGGGUCUAUUUGUUAAAGAUUUAUUGGUUGAAGAUGGGCAUGCGUUCGAUUAGCUAGUUGGUAUGGGUAACGGCCUACCAAGGCGACGAUCGAUAGGGGAGCUGAGAGGUUGAUCCCCCACACGGGCACUGAGAUACGGGCCCGACUCCUACGGGAGGCAGCAGUAGGGAAUAUUGGGCAAUGGAUGCAAGUCUGACCCAGCCAUGCCGCGUGCCGGAUGAAGGCCCUCAGGGUUGUAAACGGCUUUUAUUCGGGAAGAAGAGCGGGGAUGCGUCCCUGUGUGACGGUACCGAAUGAAUAAGCACCGGCUAACUCCGUG